CUCCCUUGGGAGGCAACCAUCCUAAAAUCGGAACAGCGCAGAGAAGAUUAGAAUGGCCCCUGCACAAGGAUGAAACACAGAUUCACGAAGUGUCCCAUAGUUUU
Ornithorhynchus anatinus (platypus) is the source of this 104-nucleotide small nuclear RNA. Lineage: Eukaryota; Metazoa; Chordata; Mammalia; Monotremata; Ornithorhynchidae. The record is from RefSeq and is a predicted model, not a curated record.